UUUUUUGGUAUAUCUCAUCUAGUAAGUGCCUAUGUUGUGAUGCCUUCAGGUUUGGAAAUACACCAGGAACUGUUUCAAGUUAACCAAAAAUAAUUUAUCCACCAACAAAAGGUUUUGACACUGUCCUCUGCUACAUGUAACAAUUAUUGUUCAAUUUUGGUUUUAGGUUGCCAUUUUUUCUUCUUUUUUUAUCUCAUCUAGCAAUUGCCGUUGUGAUGUCUUUCUUUUGAUACAGAUUCAGGAACAUUGUUCAAUACAGGUUUCAAAACACUCAGUGUUUCGAGUUAGCAGUCAGUAAUUUCUUGUCAGUUAUAAUUUCAUGAUUUGGCAUUGACUGUCCCCUGCCACACAUUAUGUCUACUGUGUGGGAGGGGAGGUGAUGGUCUAGUGGUUAAAGCGUUGGGCUUGAGACCAGAGGAUCCUCAGUUCAAAUCCCAGCCUGAUCGGAAAAUCACUAAGGGCCCUUGGUUAAGGUCCUUAAUCCCCUAGUUGCUCCUGGGGUGUAGUGGGCGCCUUGCAUGGCAGCAGCCUCACAUCGGGGUGAAUGUGAGGCAUUAUUGUAAAGCGCUUUGAGCCUCUGACCAGAUGUGGUAGGGUUUGUCUUCAUUAUGUAUUAUUUUAAUCUGAUGACUUACAAGAUAUUAGUAUUCAUUGGUUUUAAGUUAUUGUCUUCAAAAUAUUGCUAAGGCGGACUGGUUUACACACUUACUGAUCUACAUUUUUGUUGUCAAAUCCCUUCACUGUUACAAGUGCAGGAACAUUCAACUUUAUAUCUUGAAAUUGUUUUUGGAAACCACUGUUUUGUUUAGUUUUGUAUCUGACUUUAGUUUCGAAUUUGAUUGAGCAGCUCAUAAUUUUCUUGUCGUGCUUAAAUCUUCAUUUCUCCCUCAUAAUUAAACUUAAAAUGUCAAUGCAUUAAAUGGUAUUCAUUAGUUUUGACUAAAUUUUGACAUUGCAUCUUACAAUUUUGACACUGGGUUUUUCCCCUCAUGAAACUCUAAGAACAGACUGGAUAUUGUUAAUUCAGCCCAUGUGGACAGCGUGAGGUCUGUUGUUUUAAAAUGCUGUGGUCAGAAUCAGAAUGAUCUUUGUCAUUAUAUAUACAGUAUGAACAAUGGAAUUACUGAAGGCUUUUCUCAAUAUAUAGAAACUCAAAAUACAGAAGAAAAGAAACAAUAGAGACCACAAGUAACAGUCCUGGAAACAAAAAGUCAUAACAGAUUGUGACACCUACAUAGAUCCUUGUCAUUUGAUUGGUGGAUUGUGUGUCAUGCAACAUUCUCCAUUUGUCCCAUUGUAUGAGUGAUGUCAGGUACCAUGCAUUUUUGUGCCGUAUGUUAUGCUCUAUUGAACACCUCCAUUAGCUUUUAGUAGUAAUGCUACCGUGCUACAAGAACUCCAGUUAUCGCAGUGUUUGUGAGGACAUCUUUAGCAGACAUACAAGCGCUUCUUUGCUGGUUUGAGGAAAGCAGCCAUGUGCUUCCACUUGUUUAGCGGUGUGUCGGCAAGUUGCCUGCAACGCGGAGUAAACUGGGCAGACACCCAGUCAGGUGUGUGCACCGCUGUUGUGCGCUUCCUGCUCCAAGAAGCAACACCUAUCUAAUUUUAAGUAUAGUAAUUUAUGUGGAUCUAUUUAGGUGUCAGAAAACAAACACUGAAUGUUUUCCAUUUGCGUAAUUAAAAGAAUAUCACUAUAGUUGUUGAAAGAUGGAAUAUACCAUUCAAUGAGGUGCCAGCUGAGCUGAAUGGUACAUGUUAUCUUUGAGCUCAUGCAAAUAUUCUUACCAUUGCACUCAAACAUUAUCUGUAUAAUAUACAACAUAAUGGCAUGUUUACAAACACUGCAAAAUAAUGCAUAGAGGACCUAAUGUUACGGAGGUCGCAGCUUCGGGAUAGCAGCUGUUCCUCAGUUGGGUGGUUCUGGAUUUUAUUGACCCAAAUACAAUGGCAGCAGUUCAGACAGAGAAUUGCCAGAGUGUGUGUAGUCCCUAAAAAUGGUGCUGGCUUUCCUCUUCAGUUGACCAGUGUAAAUGAUGUCCAGGGUUGGGAGUACCAUCCCAAUAAUGUGUUUUGCUGCCUUCACCAUACAGUACAAGUUUGUGUACUCAGUGACUGUGGAACUGACAUACCACACAGUGUCACAGUUAGUCAGGAUAGUCUCUGUGGUGUUCCCGUAAAGGAUCACCAACAGUUUCUGUGGGAGCUCGGUCCUGUUUCAGUUUCCUGAGUGAGAUUAGUCAUUGCUAGACCGUCUUGACCAGCUGUGUGGAAUUGGAAACCGUUGUGAGUUAACAGUCACCAAUUUGCAGUACUGUUUCAAAUUUUGGCGUCCUCCUCAGCCACAUGUUCGAUUCACUCUUUAAUUCAGUUUUACUUUCCUGUUGUGUUGUGAAGAUGGUCAUUGGAGGGAGGAGUGUACCCAUGAGCACAUAACCUGCCCUUUGGUCAACAUGUGACAGACAAACUACGUCACUUCAACUACAUCUGUUAAAAUUUUCCAUAAUCCAUCCAGCAGAUGGCACGCAUGUCUAUGCGAUGUUACAUGGGCAAAACACUCUUUCAUUUUCC
Molecule: long non-coding RNA, 2568 nt
Organism: Thalassophryne amazonica
Lineage: Eukaryota; Metazoa; Chordata; Actinopteri; Batrachoidiformes; Batrachoididae
Exons: 3
Source: RefSeq, a predicted model, not a curated record